Molecule: long non-coding RNA, 676 nt
Filed under: Solanum tuberosum (potato)
Lineage: Eukaryota; Viridiplantae; Streptophyta; Magnoliopsida; Solanales; Solanaceae
Description: long non-coding RNA (STUB_LNC000425)
Source: RNAcentral
AAUAAACCAUUAAUGUGAUCCAACCAAGAACCUGAAUAACAAUCUGAGUCCAUCAAAUUCCUUUGCUCAGCUGUUUAGAAAGCUCUCUUGUCAUGGAGAGAAUUCUGUUCCACCAGGAUGAUGUUAGGACCCAAAUGAUGGAAGAAACAUGAGGAGAACUGUUGUAUUUUUGGUUUAGAUGAAUUAACAAACUAUAGAGCAAAGAGACCAGAGUUUUAGUCUUACAGGACAAGUCAAUUGUGUGCAACUGUAAAUCUGCAAAAACUUGAGGAGAAUGCAUUCUUAGUGGUAUAUUGAGUUUAGUGUCUUGUGCUUCAUUAUUGUAGAUCUACUCCGAUGAUAUAAAGGAUUGUAGAUCGUUUUAGUAAUUGUUGAGAGUUGAGUUUGUGGCUAGAGUUAGUCGAGUUGUGUUUGUUGAAGUCUAUGUUAGCUAGAGGUAGUUGAUAUAGUGGACAAUAGUGUUAUUGCUUUGAGUCUUGUAAUAAAGGAGCUACAAGGUGUGUAGGAUUACAAGUUCAAUCCUUGGUAAAUACUCGAGUAUGUAUUUACGAGUUGCUUGAAGAUAUUGGAGCUUUGAGAAAUCUUGUGUCACAGGUCGUGGUUUUUUCCUCCCUUGAGCAAGGAGGUUUCCACGUAAACAUCCAUACAGUUCCUUACUUUAAGCAUUUACUUUUAC